RNAcentral lists this long non-coding RNA (2586 nucleotides) under Homo sapiens (human). RNAcentral describes it as "HSALNT0228210". Lineage: Eukaryota; Metazoa; Chordata; Mammalia; Primates; Hominidae. The record is from RNAcentral.
GUGUGUAGCAGCAAGAAAUGACCCUUUUGUGAAUUAAGCAACUGCAAUUUGGCGUUUUUAUAACCUAACGUAUCUUGACUGAUACAAAUGCUUAGAGCAACCUCUGAUAUUUAGUAAGGGCUUAUUCAGUGGCAGAAUAGAAAAGAAUGGGAUCUAGAGUAAUAAAAGGGAUUAGCCUUCUCUUUGUCAGUUAGGGAUGUCAAGAGAUUAUCUGUAGCACCCUCUGCUGUCAACAUGCCUGUCUUCCAUGACCAGCCUGUACCCCCCUCCCUCCACAUGUUUUUGUUUUUCCCAGACAGGGUCUCACUCUGUCACCCAGGCUGGAGUGCAAAUCGACCUCCUGGGUUCAAGCGAUCCUCCUGCCUCACUCUCCCUAGUAGCCGGGACUACAGGCAUGUACCACCAUGCCUAAUUUUUUAUUUUUUGUGGAGAUGGGACCUCACUAUUUUGCCUAGGCUGGUCUCAAACUCCUGGGCUCAAGCAAUUCUCCUGCCUCUACCUUCCAAAGUGCUGGGAUUAUAGGUGUGAGCCAUUGUGCCCAGCCACAUGGUUCUUCAAUACUCACCCCCACCCCAAACCCUCUGACACAUGCGUUUAGUCCUGGGGUGGGGCACCUGACUCAACCCAGGUUGAAGAUACUUUAGGAUAUUUUGAACCUGGGAGAUGUGAGGGUUGUCUCUUUAAAAUGGUGGAAAUUAUGAGAUAUUUGGGAACGGCACUACUGAUCCUCCUAAUUUAUUUUUAAUUUUUUUUUUAGGCCGAGGCGGGUGGAUCACCUGAGGUCAAGAGUUCGAGACUAGCCUGGCCAAUAUGGUGAAACCUUGUCUGUACUAAAACUACAAAAAUUAGCAGGGUGGGGUGGCAGGCGCCUGUAAUCCGAGCUACUCAGGAGACUGGGACUACAGGAAGAGGGUUUAACUCUGCAACAUAAUCAGUGCACAGAAACCUAAAUUGGAAAUCUCUUUCACUACAGACAAGACAGUUCAGAAGUGAAAAGUCACAGUAAAAUUGGGCAUUUCUUUCCAUAGACUUAACAGAAGCAACACCUGGAUUCCAGCAGCUGUACUGGUGUAACUGGCACUUGAACGUCUCCAUCCAAGUGCCCCUUUGUGGCAGAUGAAGAGUUCAGGUUUUGUUCCUCAUCAGCUUUGUGACCUUGGGCAAAGUCCUUGACCUAUCAGAGCCUCAAUUUCCCUAUCUGUGGAAAGACGACCAUGAAAAAAUAUGCACUAUGGGGUGGUUCUGGUGGGGAGAGUUAAAUUAGAUAUAAUUUAGAAAUUCUUAGCAUAAUAUUUGUAUCAUAUAUAUGUUUAUAUAUGUUAAUAUGUAACACAUAAUAGUAUAUAAGAAAGUCAUCUAUAUGAACUUCACACAGCAUAUUAUAUUAUAUAUACACACUACAUGGUGUAUAUGACAUAUACUAUCUAAUAUAUGAUAUGGUUUGGCUGUGUCCCCACCCAAAUCUUAUCUUGAAUUGUAAAUCCCACAAUUCCCACAUGUUGUGGGAGGAACCUAGUGGGAGAUAAUUGAAUCAUGGGAGUGGGUCUUUCCUGUGCUGUUUUUGUGAUAGUGAAUAAGUCUCAUGAGAUCUGAUGGUUAUAUACACGGGAAUUUCCCUGUACAAGCUCUCUUCUCUUGUCUGCUGCCAUGUGAGACAUGCCUUUCAUCUUCUGCCAUGCUUGUGAGGCCUUCCCAGCCACAGUUCCACGUGGCUGGGGAGUAAUAAACCUCUUUCUUUUGUAAAUUGCCCAGUCUCAGGUAUGUCUUUAUCAGCAGCAUGAAAACAGAUUAAUACAAUAUGUUAUAUAUAUAUUAUAUAGUAUGUAUCUAAUAUAGUAUAGUAUACUAAGUAUUAAAUAUUUUAUAAUAAAUAUAAUACUAUAGCAUAUAAACAUGAGUACAAUGAUAUAUGCUCUAACAUAUGUACUAUGUAACAUAAUGGCACAUACACAUAUUAUACCAUGUUUGUAUUUUAUAGUGUACAUAACAUAUACUAUAUAUCAUAUAGUAUUCUAUAGUAUAUAUGAUAUACAUACCAUAUAACACAAACUAUAAUAUAUGUACUAUAUACACUAUAUAUAAUAUAGUAUACUAUGUAAUAUAUGCUAUAUAUACAAGCAACUGUCCUCUAAACUAUAUCUUAUAUUAUAUAUUAUGUAAUAUACCAAUAUAAUAUAGUAGAGAUGAAAGUUUCUUGUGAAUUGAAAAGCCAUGAUUAAUAAAAGAUGUUAUUAUUCAUAUAGAGAUAUAGAUGACUGAUAAGGUUUGUGGUAUGACCCUGAGUCUCUUUUUUUCUAUCAUCUGCUUGAUUCACUACCUGACUCUUAAUUUUUCUUUCUUUCUUUUUUUUUUUUUUUGAGACGGAGUCUUGCUCUGUCACCCAGGCUGGACUGCAGUGGCGUGAUCUUGGCUCACUGCAAGUUCCGCCUCCUGGGUUCACGCCAUUCUCCGUCCUCAGCCUCCUGAGUAGCUGGAACUACAGGCACCUGCCACCAUGCCCGGCUAAUUUUUUGUAUUUUUAGUAGAGACAGAGUUUCACCAUGUUAGCCAGGAUGGUCUUCACCUCCUGACCUUGUGAUCCACCCG